Molecule: transfer RNA, 85 nt
Organism: Rhizopogon vinicolor AM-OR11-026
Lineage: Eukaryota; Fungi; Basidiomycota; Agaricomycetes; Boletales; Rhizopogonaceae
Rfam family: tRNA
About the family: Transfer RNA (tRNA) molecules are approximately 80 nucleotides in length. Their secondary structure includes four short double-helical elements and three loops (D, anti-codon, and T loops).
Source: Rfam
GGGCGCUUAGCGCAGUGGUAGCGCGUAUGCUUUGCAUUAGCAUCCGAAUUGUAUAAGGUCCAGGGUUCAAUCCCCUGAGCGUCCA